GCGUGUACCACCACACCUUGAGGUCACAGAGGUCAAUCUCUACCUUUGUCCCUAGAAGCGAUGGAGAAUGUGGUUGCGGCCCUCCACAGACAUGAACAUACAUGGUUCUCUUUGUGUCCCUUGAGAAUGCCACGAUGCCUGGUUGUCCUGCCAUUGGUGAUGAGAGCAUAGCCCCAGCAAGAGAGCCAAUCUGUCCCUGGAGGGAUCCAGAACUGUCAGUAGUGGAUGUCAUUGCCUGAUCGAGUUUGCCUCUGGAGUCCUCAGUCAGAUGACACGUCUGGAUGACAGCCUUUGUUUACAGGCCCGGUAGAUCCAAGAGAGACGACAAGACAAGUUUCUAUUCCUACCAGUAAAGGAAAGGCUGUCUCUCGCAGUCAUCUAGUUUGUAGCAGCAA
This is a long non-coding RNA of Myodes glareolus (Bank vole), 395 nucleotides long. RefSeq lists it as uncharacterized. The record is from RefSeq and is a predicted model, not a curated record. Lineage: Eukaryota; Metazoa; Chordata; Mammalia; Rodentia; Cricetidae.